CCGAGUUACAACUCCCAAACCCCUGUGAGCAUACCACUUGUUGCCUCGGCGGAUCAGCCCGCUCCCGGUAAAACGGGACGGCCCGCCAGAGGACCCCUAAACUCUGUUUCUAUAUGUAACUUCUAGAGUAAAACCAUAAAUAAAUCA
This 147-nucleotide unclassified non-coding RNA is filed under the name soil metagenome. RNAcentral describes it as "partial internal transcribed spacer 1". The record is from RNAcentral.